CAAACCAAAAUGAGGAUGUUUAUCACACUCUGGACACAAAACAACAGGAGCCCAGUUUAGAGAAUGAGGAAUCUAUCCACGCCAAAGACUUUUAACUUGAAGGAAUUCAAUGGAAUAAUACACUGUACAUGCAAUGACAUUGUUCUGGACACAACAAAAGGAAGGAUUUGAAAUGGUGAGGGAAAAGAGUGUGUAUAAGACACUGACGCACAAAUAAAUGUGAACAGAGACAGAGAUUGAAGCAGUUUAAUGUCCUAACACACUCCACCAAAUGGUGGAUUCAGGUCGACAUGUCAAUCUGAUUAACAACAAUAAUAACAAACACAAAGAAUAAUACAAAACCAUUUACAUGACAUCCUAGUUUUGUGCUGAAAUACUGCAAAUAUAUAGAGAUUUCUUUACAGAGAGUAUAAAUAGGAAAAAAAUAAGAAACACAAGGUGCUACAUGACCAUUAACUAAGACUAUCAGUCAAACUCUUUCUCAAGGCUUCUUUUCAAUGAGUUUACAUGCUGAAGAGUCAAUCGCUUCUAUACUUUCCCCCUUUGUUUUAGCAUUGAGACCUGAGUUAAUUUGUGAUAUAAUACAUGUUUUUUUUUUAAAGUAAGGGAAAGUGCAGUUGCAUAUUUUAGAUAUAGCAUCACAUAACUUCCUUCAGUGGCAUUCACGUGGGUGCUCAAGUGCCCGUGGGCAUCUCAGAUCAACAUGCGCUGAGAUCGAGUUUGUAAGAGCUUUCAAAGAGCUUAUUACAUUCAAAUGAAUGCGAAUAAAAGGGCUCAAGGGUUUGUUCCUGUGGAUUCUACAUCAUGGGAGUAAAUCACAUGUUCUGCAGGUGCGGUCGCAUUAGUGAAUUUUCAUGGGCAAUUUGUCAUUAGGGUAGCAAUGUUUGAAGCACAGUUCACUGAAGUCACUUUUAAACCAAGCAGCUUUAUGGCAAAAUCUGUGUGGGGAAAGCGUUUGUACGCACCUUUAUUGUGUCUUUAAAUUUUUUUUUUUCUGAAUUAUCAAAGUGGCUGUUUACACAACACCGUUUUCAACUAAAAACGGAAAACUUUUUUAUGCGUUUUGGCCGUUCAUUUACACGACAAUGGCGUUUUGGUGGCCUGAAAACACAAACUUUUGAAAACUGGUUUCAAAGUGCAAGUUUUUGAAAACGAUACCGUUGUCAUCUCCGUGUAAACGUGAAUCUGGAACGGUGAAAACGGUGACGGCAUGCACAUGCAUAUUACGUGUUAAGUCUAUCCACCUUAUUUUUCAACGUGAAGGUAAGGUUUUCUGUGAAUGUGUGAGACUUCUGAUUUAUUAGCCGCUGUGGGGAAAUAACGAGAAGAAUAUCCAACGCUAUUUCACGGCCAGUUCGUACGUAUUUUACAAGGUGGCUAAUUCGUACGAAUUUGUACGAUUUGUCUAAACAAUACUAAAAAGUAGUGAAACAACACAAACGCAAACGGCCGUUUUAAGUUUAGAAACAUUUUGAGUCACCCCUCACUUGCCUCACAGUGGUUUGGUCCACCGCGCACAUCACCUACACACACAAGUCCGGCGGCGGGAGAGAACAGUUCUUCAGACAAUAACGUUAGUUGAGGAACUCCACCCAUCAGGCCCCAUUCCCCUCCCAGAGCCGCUGUUGUUAGGGUGUGGGUACCGCAGAAUGUUUAUUACGGAACGUCUCAAAAAAUGCCAACAUGCCCUUCUUCACGCUGGGAGAGGCCAUUUUGGAAGGUGUGUGUCCU
Ctenopharyngodon idella (grass carp) is the source of this 1731-nucleotide long non-coding RNA. RefSeq lists it as uncharacterized. The record is from RefSeq and is a predicted model, not a curated record. Lineage: Eukaryota; Metazoa; Chordata; Actinopteri; Cypriniformes; Xenocyprididae. The transcript is spliced from 3 exons.